This is a long non-coding RNA of Dicentrarchus labrax (European seabass), 1668 nucleotides long. NCBI's taxonomy places the organism in Eukaryota, Metazoa, Chordata, Actinopteri, Moronidae. The record is from Ensembl.
AUGAUGGUCGAAUCAGAUGUUCGUGGCUGCCUUUAUGAACCGCAAUAUAGCGAGCAGCGGCUGAGGCUGAACGGGAGGCGGCUGAAGCUUCUGCAGCCGAGGCAGAGGACCUGCCUGUCACGGACGAGGAGCCUGGACUGGCUCGAGCUGGGGUGGAUUGCUGGUGCCUGUGCUCUCGCUGUGCGCCUACGGACACAUGGACGUCUGACUGUAAACUUGCAGUUGCAUUGCUAACUACUGUGGCAUUCUGGAAUGGGUCCUGCAAGGCGAGAGAUUGGGUCGAGGCCAUCGUGCCGUUUUACCCGCUUAUGUGGUGCAGGCUAUCCGACAGAAAUAUCCAGCUCCAGAUGGCCAGUACUGCGGCACCAAGAAGUUGAGGACGCUCAGGAGGAACUACAACUGUCAUUGUUAACGUAUUUAUUUUUGUUGUUGUUGAUAUAUUUCUGUAAAUAAAUGGUUUACAUUCACGUUGUUGUAGUCCUUGAUAGUGUUAGUGGGAGCGGCUUGCGGAGCUGUGCAUUGUGGGAGUUGUUGUCUUUAAUACAAAUGCGCCCUAAAGUCACUUUCUGUCUUUUCUCAGUCAAAUAGGCACCAAAUUCAAAAUGUAUGUUACAUUUCGACUACAUGUAUAACCCACUUUCAAUAAAUAUUAAUGUUUCCACGGGUUAAGUGCUCCUUUAAGGAAAAAAUUAAUUGUAUCUGUUUUAUGUCUGUGACAUAUUCUACAGAUAUAGACAUUGAAACUGCAGUUAAAGGAAAGGAAAUGAACACAUUUUCACUGUUUUUGCUGACAAGGCUUGCAGGAAAAGUACACGAAACCUGGCUGCAGCCACUUCUGAGUCGCCCUACUCACUCUGGCUGUUUUUCCAGGCUGUAAGUUAAGGUGUAAAGUCAACACUAGAGGUGUAGUAAAUACUAGUUAGUUUGUAACUAAAUCAGCUACUAAAAUGGGAUGCAGCAGGAUUACUUGGGGCAUAAUCUUACUAGACAUUUGGAGAGUUUGGAUGUAAAGUUAUAACUAAGGCAAGUGGCCGAUCAAUCAUCAUCAUGGUUACUGUGUGCAUUAGUUCUCUCUGGAGGUCUGAAACUGCCAAAAUUGAAAAUAAAUAAAUACAAUUUUAAAAAGAUUGGGUCCAUAGUUACUCAUGUCUUCCUUAGGCAUCGUGCCCAAUUUCAGGUCAUCCCCACAAGGUGGUGCUCUUUAAAAUGAAAAAGUUUAUAUCUCUACAACGGUAUGUGUGAUUAAGAUGAAACUUGGUACGAUGCUUCCCCAUGGCUCCCUGAGGCUUGCUAAAAAAUGUGUCAACAAUCCACCACUAGGUGGCGCUCUGGUGGCAUGGUAAAUCACUGUGCGGAGACCGUAAUAGUUAUGAAUAUGAAAUUCACAGGUCACGUGUAGAGUGGUGCCUGAAGCUCACAUACCAAAAAUCGUGUUCGUCGUGUUUGUAGCGCCCCCUACAGGAUAAAAAAACAGCAGCCCCGGCGCAACAUAUCACCGAUAUGUACGAAACUUGGUAUGCAAGUGUAACAUGCCGGGACGUACAAAGAAGCCUCUUGGACCCAUACCCGAAACCCCACAGGAAGUCAGUCAUUUUGAUUUUAAUUUUCACUUUCGGCAAACUUUACGCGUUGUAUUUGAACAAACUCCUCAUAGGGAAUUUAAUAAUA